Molecule: transfer RNA, 73 nt
Filed under: Canis lupus familiaris (dog)
Lineage: Eukaryota; Metazoa; Chordata; Mammalia; Carnivora; Canidae
Also listed under: 1 other name
Rfam family: tRNA
About the family: Transfer RNA (tRNA) molecules are approximately 80 nucleotides in length. Their secondary structure includes four short double-helical elements and three loops (D, anti-codon, and T loops).
Source: Rfam by way of RNAcentral
GCCUGGCUGGCUCAGUCAGUAGAGCAUGUGACUUUUGAUCUCAGGUUCAUGAGUUGGAGCUUCAUGUUGGUUA